RNAcentral lists this ribosomal RNA (549 nucleotides) under uncultured bacterium. RNAcentral's name for it is "bacterial SSU rRNA". It matches the Rfam family "Bacterial small subunit ribosomal RNA", at positions 355 to 896 of the family's 1533-position model. The record is from RNAcentral.
UGGGGAAUAUUGCGCAAUGGGGGGAACCCUGACGCAGCCAUGCCGCGUGAAUGAAGAAGGCCUUCGGGUUGUAAAGUUCUUUCGGUAUUGAGGAAGGAGUGUAUGUUAAUAGCAUACAUUAUUGACGUUAAAUACAGAAGAAGCACCGGCUAACUCCGUGCCAGCAGCCGCGGUAAUACGGAGAGGGUGCGAGCGUUAAUCGGAAUAACUGGGCGUAAAGGGCACGCAGGCGGUUAUUUAAGUGAGGUGUGAAAGCCCCGGGCUUAACCUGGGAAUUGCAUUUCAGACUGGGUAACUAGAGUACUUUAGGGAGGGGUAGAAUUCCACGUGUAGCGGUGAAAUGCGUAGAGAUGUGGAGGAAUACCGAAGGCGAAGGCAGCCCCUUGGGAAUGUACUGACGCUCAUGUGCGAAAGCGUGGGGAGCAAACAGGAUUAGAUACCCUGGUAGUCCACGCNNUAAACGCUGUCGAUUUGGGGAUUGGGCUUAGAGCUUGGUGCCCGUAGCUAACGUGAUAAAUCGACCGCCUGGGGAGUACGGCCGCAAGGUUA